Long non-coding RNA from Megalopta genalis, 785 nucleotides. RefSeq lists it as uncharacterized. The record is from RefSeq and is a predicted model, not a curated record. NCBI's taxonomy places the organism in Eukaryota, Metazoa, Arthropoda, Insecta, Hymenoptera, Halictidae.
CUAGCUAAGUGUUGAGUGUUUCAUGAAUCCUGGGAAAAGUUUACAGUUGAUAUUCGUACACGAAAUGUUUCUCGAAUAUACGGUUCUGAUUAGAGAUAUUGGGACGGUUCUUGGUUUCGAAUGAAAUGUCUAGUUACCACUUGGUAGGCUUCCCAAGUACUAUAGCCAAACAAUUCUUUUGGUCCAUAGGUUGCGAGUGAGAAUAGCGGCCGCUUAUGGAAUAAAUCGAGAUUUUUAAUUAUAUUUACUCAUAAUUCAUAAUUCCAAAUUUAUACGAUCAGAGUUUGAAGCUAAUAUAAGCAGCACUAUUAAUAAACUUAGAGUGUUAAUUACUGUAUAUUAUAUAUUUCAUUAAUCUUUUAGUUUAUUUUAGUUCGGCAUUCGUGUUUUAUUUGAGACACCGACUUACUCGAUCUCUAUUAUAGUAGCAGUAAAAAGUAAUACACACUGCAAGAGACUAUCCGUGUGUUCAAUACAAAUAUGUAGCAAUAAGUAAACCAGAUGUUGAUUUAAUACUAAGUUCUCAAUUAGAGGUACAUAUUUUCAAAAUUACCCCUUAUAUUACAGAGAAUGAUCAGUUUAGUCUUUGUACAAAUUUCGAAAAAAAAAUACCUCGAUGUUAGUAUAAGUGUAUGCAAGUAUAUCAGUACUCAAAAAUUUAUUCAGCGUGUUUUACAGUAUAGCGUGAAAAUAUAUAAUGUAGUAAAUGUUUCAUUUGUCUCAAUAAAUAAAGUGUACCGUGUGUAUUAAGAUAUUUGUCGAUAGUAAACAAGGUGAACAAAGAA